Molecule: transfer RNA, 73 nt
Filed under: Danionella translucida
Lineage: Eukaryota; Metazoa; Chordata; Actinopteri; Cypriniformes; Danionidae
Also listed under: 1 other name
Rfam family: tRNA
About the family: Transfer RNA (tRNA) molecules are approximately 80 nucleotides in length. Their secondary structure includes four short double-helical elements and three loops (D, anti-codon, and T loops).
Source: Rfam by way of RNAcentral
GGGGAAUUAGCUCAAAUGGUAGAGCGCUCGCUUUGCAUGCAAGAUGUAGUUGGAUCAAUACCCACAUUCUCCA